This 378-nucleotide long non-coding RNA is filed under the name Elaeis guineensis (African oil palm). RNAcentral's name for it is "long non-coding RNA (EGUI_LNC010076)". Lineage: Eukaryota; Viridiplantae; Streptophyta; Magnoliopsida; Arecales; Arecaceae. The record is from RNAcentral.
CGUUGGAGAUGGAAGCAAAGUUCCAGUUCUAGCAUUAGGAAUCAUGAACCUUGUAAUCAAUUCUCGAAAUAUAAUUCUGAGUGAAUGUCACUAUUGUCCAAGCUUUUUAUUAAAUAUUAUUUCUGUAGGCCUUUUGGCCAUGAACGGUUAUCAAUUUUUAAUAAAAAAAAUAUUUACAAUAUUAUUUUGAAUCGUGUUACAAUGUUUGUUGGAUAACUUAAUAAUGAAAUUUACUUUCUAUCACAACCUGUUAAUGUGGUUCAAACCUCCAGUAAAUGCCCUAGAAUAGAUAAUGUGUCAGAAGUCUACCUUUGGCACUGUAGGCUAGGUCAUAUCAAUAAGAAUAGGAUAAACAGGUUGGCUCAAGAAGAAAUUCUU